UGGGGAAUUUUGGACAAUGGGCGCAAGCCUGAUCCAGCCAUGCCGCGUGCGGGAAGAAGGCCUUCGGGUUGUAAACCGCUUUUGUCAGGGAAGAAAUCUUCUGAGUUAAUACCUCGGGAGGAUGACGGUACCUGAAGAAUAAGCACCGGCUAACUACGUGCCAGCAGCCGCGGUAAUACGUAGGGUGCAAGCGUUAAUCGGAAUUACUGGGCGUAAAGCGUGCGCAGGCGGUUUUGUAAACAGAGGUGAAAUCCCCGGGCUCAACCUGGGAACUGCCUUUGUGACUGCAAGGCUUGAGUGCGGCAGAGGGGGAUGGAAUUCCGCGUGUAGCAUGAAAUGCGUAGAUAUGCGGAGGAACACCGAUGGCGAAGGCAAUCCCCUGGGCCUGCACUGACGCUCAUGCACGAAAAGCGUGGGGAGCAAAACAGGAUUAGAUACCCUGGUAGUCCACGCCCUAAAACGAUGUCAAC
RNAcentral lists this ribosomal RNA (470 nucleotides) under uncultured bacterium. RNAcentral describes it as "partial 16S ribosomal RNA". It matches the Rfam family "Bacterial small subunit ribosomal RNA", at positions 355 to 816 of the family's 1533-position model. The record is from RNAcentral.